Ostrea edulis (European flat oyster) is the source of this 739-nucleotide long non-coding RNA. RefSeq lists it as uncharacterized. NCBI's taxonomy places the organism in Eukaryota, Metazoa, Mollusca, Bivalvia, Ostreida, Ostreidae. The record is from RefSeq and is a predicted model, not a curated record. The transcript is spliced from 2 exons.
AAGUAUCUUGUAAUCACAUGAAAAUUUCCCGACAUAGUGAUUUUGUAAUUACGACCAAAAGAAAAAUGUUUUCAUUUUUAAAUUCAAAUUUCGAGAGGUGGAACACUGAGUUCAGGUGUCAAAAUUGAAAGAUGGAGACCUAUUGCUUUUAUAUUUGAGGAUACUUGUUGUCAGUUUUCCAUGAAAUUACAUUUCUUUGUUCUAAUUGACAUUUCAAUUUGUUUUCAGACUCAGGAAAACCAAAUAUAUAUCCGCACACAAUGAAUACCUGCCUCAUCUCCAUUUUUGUCGCUCUUACAAUCAGCGCAUGCUUAGUGCAGUCCAUGCCCAUGUUUCCGGUUGUUGAAUUAGCAUCAAUGCACCCGAGAGACGCAUGCUUAUUCAUCUGUAGUAUCUGUUUCCACAGUCAGGAGGACUCCAUGCUGAAGUGUGCAAACAAUUACUGUUUGUCCGACUAUCUCCACCACGGCUUCGGGUACCUGUGGAUCGGAAAAGAAUGCGCCCACUGGCCCGCUUUGAAGAAAUUCGUUGCCGCCGACAACGUAUUCAAGAACUAAGACUAUUGUGUUAAAUGUCUCAUGUUCAUUUUUAAUCAUGUCAUGUUAUUUAAUCAUCACAGUGCAAUUCAGCUAUCAAGUAUAAUUUCAUUUAAUUGAAUUAAUAAAACAAAUAAAAACCACAAAAACAUGCAGAUAUGCUAAUAUACAUCUUUUUAUUAAAUUAAAUUUUGUGUUCAAAA